GGGAUAACUCCGGGAAACCGGAGCUAAUACCGGAUAGUUCCUUGAACCGCAUGGUUCAAGGAUGAAAGACGGUUUCGGCUGUCACUUACAGAUGGACCCGCGGCGCAUUAGCUAGUUGGUGGGGUAAUGGCUCACCAAGGCGACGAUGCGUAGCCGACCUGAGAGGGUGAUCGGCCACACUGGGACUGAGACACGGCCCAGACUCCUACGGGAGGCAGCAGUAGGGAAUCUUCCGCAAUGGACGAAAGUCUGACGGAGCAACGCCGCGUGAGUGAUGAAGGUUUUCGGAUCGUAAAGCUCUGUUGUUAGGGAAGAACAAGUGCGAGAGUAACUGCUCGCACCUUGACGGUACCUAACCAGAAAGCCACGGCUAACUACGUGCCAGCAGCCGCGGUAAUACGUAGGUGGCAAGCGUUGUCCGGAAUUAUUGGGCGUAAAGGGCUCGCAGGCGGUUUCUUAAGUCUGAUGUGAAAGCCCCCGGCUCAACCGGGGAGGGUCAU
Molecule: ribosomal RNA, 500 nt
Filed under: Bacillus sp. enrichment culture clone CBMAI_977
Lineage: Bacteria; Bacillati; Bacillota; Bacilli; Caryophanales; Bacillaceae
Description: bacterial SSU rRNA
Rfam family: Bacterial small subunit ribosomal RNA
Source: RNAcentral